RNAcentral lists this ribosomal RNA (446 nucleotides) under Serratia symbiotica. RNAcentral describes it as "bacterial SSU rRNA". It matches the Rfam family "Bacterial small subunit ribosomal RNA", at positions 17 to 459 of the family's 1533-position model. Lineage: Bacteria; Pseudomonadati; Pseudomonadota; Gammaproteobacteria; Enterobacterales; Yersiniaceae. The record is from RNAcentral.
UCAUGGCUCAGAUUGAACGCUGGCGGCAGGCCUAACACAUGCAAGUCGAGCGGUAGCACAAGAGAGCUUGCUCUCUGGGUGACGAGCGGCGGACGGGUGAGUAAUGUCUGGGAAACUGCCUGAUGGCGGGGGAUAACUAGUGGAAACGGUAGCUAAUACCGCAUAACGUCGCAAGACCAAAGUGGGGGACCUUCGGGCCUCACGCCAUCAGAUGUGCCCAGGUGGGAUUAGCUGGUAGGUGGGGUAACGGCUCACCUAGGCGACGAUCCCUAGCUGGUCUGAGAGGAUGACCAGCCACACUGGAACUGAGACACGGUCCAGACUCCUACGGGAGGCAGCAGUGGGGAAUAUUGCACAAUGGGCGCAAGCCUGAUGCAGCCAUGCCGCGUGUGUGAAGAAGGCCUUCGGGUUGUAAAGCACUUUCACCGAGGAGGAAGGGUAAUGUG